AUGAGAUCUCUCCUAGGCAAGUUGGGCGGCCUCCUUGCCCAAGAGUACACUCUGAUCCGUGGCGUCUGCGGCGACAUCCAGUACAUCAGCGACGAGCUCGCCAGCAUGCAAGCCUUUCUUGGUGACCUCGGCUCUGCCCUAGACGACCAUGAUCGCCGGCUCAAGAGCUGGAUGAAGCAGAUCCGUGACAUGGCAUAUGACAUGGAAGACUGCAUCGAUGACUUUGCUCAUCGCCUCCCUCAGGACUCCCUCAGCGAUGCAAGAUGCUCCUUUAUUGUGACGAUAAUCUAUGAGCUGUGGACAUUCUGGCCUCGCUGCGACAUUGCCUCCAAGAUUGCCGAGCUCAAGAACUUUGACGAAGAUGAAGUCCUCAGGGAUAUUCUUGGUCAAAUCAAGCCAAAAGAUAGUCAAAUCAAGGCAAAGGAGGAGAAGGAGGGCAACAACAUAGGGAAGUUGGAGAAGAAAAGCCUA
Molecule: ribosomal RNA, 471 nt
Filed under: Triticum aestivum (bread wheat)
Lineage: Eukaryota; Viridiplantae; Streptophyta; Magnoliopsida; Poales; Poaceae
Description: partial small subunit ribosomal RNA
Source: RNAcentral